This 332-nucleotide ribosomal RNA is filed under the name uncultured bacterium. Its description in RNAcentral is "bacterial SSU rRNA". It matches the Rfam family "Bacterial small subunit ribosomal RNA", at positions 568 to 898 of the family's 1533-position model. The record is from RNAcentral.
UGCGUAGGCGGUUUGGUAAGUCUGAUGUGAAAUCUAUGGGCUCAACUCAUAGUCUGCAUCGGAAACUGCCGGGCUUGAGUGUGGGGGAGGUGAGUGGAAUUCCUGGUGUAGCGGUGAAAUGCGUAGAUAUCAGGAGGAACACCUGUGGCGAAAGCGGCUCACUGGACCAUAACUGACGCUGAUGCACGAAAGCUAGGGGAGCAAACAGGAUUAGAUACCCUGGUAGUCCUAGCCCUAAACGAUGACUGCUUGGUGUGACGGGUACCCAAUCCCGCCGUGCCGUAGCUAACGCGUUAAGCAGUCCGCCUGGGGAGUACGGUCGCAAGGCUGAA